UACGUAGGCAGCGAGCGUUGUUCGGAGUUACUGGGCGUAAAGGGUGUGUAGGCGGUUUUCUAAGUCUGGGGUGAAAUCUCACGGCUCAACUGGGAGGGUGCGCCGAAAACUGGAAGGCUAGAGUACUGGAUGGGUAAGUGGAAUUCCUGGUGUAGCGGUGAAAUGCGUAGAUAUCAGGAGGAAUACCGGUGGCGAAGGCGGCAUCCUGGACCGACAUUGACGCUGAGGAGCGAAAGCUAGGGGAGCAAACGGG
RNAcentral lists this ribosomal RNA (253 nucleotides) under uncultured bacterium. RNAcentral describes it as "partial 16S ribosomal RNA". It matches the Rfam family "Bacterial small subunit ribosomal RNA", at positions 524 to 776 of the family's 1533-position model. The record is from RNAcentral.